GUGUGCUCUUCGGAUAUGGUGAACUAUGCCUGGGCAGGGUGAAGCCAGAGGAAACUCUGGUGGAGGUCCGUAGCGGUCCUGACGUGCAAAAUCGGUCGUCCGACCUGGGUAUAGGGGCGAAAAACUAAUUGAACCAUCUAGUAGCUGGCUCCCUCUGAAUAUC
Long non-coding RNA from Chelonia mydas (Green sea turtle), 163 nucleotides. RefSeq lists it as uncharacterized. The record is from RefSeq and is a predicted model, not a curated record. The transcript is spliced from 3 exons. Lineage: Eukaryota; Metazoa; Chordata; Testudines; Cheloniidae.